RNAcentral lists this transfer RNA (75 nucleotides) under Alphaproteobacteria bacterium. RNAcentral's name for it is "tRNA-Thr". It matches the Rfam family "tRNA". From Rfam's summary of the family: Transfer RNA (tRNA) molecules are approximately 80 nucleotides in length. RNAcentral also lists the same sequence under 3 other names. Lineage: Bacteria; Pseudomonadati; Pseudomonadota; Alphaproteobacteria. The record is from RNAcentral.
GCCGCGGUAGCUCAGUGGUAGAGCGCACCCUUGGUAAGGGUGAGGUCGAGAGUUCAAUCCUCUCUCGUGGCACCA